Molecule: ribosomal RNA, 241 nt
Filed under: uncultured bacterium
Lineage: Bacteria
Description: partial 16S ribosomal RNA
Rfam family: Bacterial small subunit ribosomal RNA
Source: RNAcentral
CGUGAGCAAUCUGCCUUGGGAGUGGGGGAUAACGGCUGGAAACAGCCGCUAAUACCGCAUGACGCGUCUGGGAGGCAUCUCUCUGGACGCCAAAGAUUUAUCGCUCUGAGAUGAGCUCGCGUCUGAUUAGCUAGUUGGCGGGGUAACGGCCCACCAAGGCGACGAUCAGUAGCCGGACUGAGAGGUUGGCCGGCCACAGUUGGGACUGAGACACGGCCCAGACUCCUACGGGAGGCAGCAG